RNAcentral lists this ribosomal RNA (429 nucleotides) under Chloroflexota bacterium. Its description in RNAcentral is "Chloroflexi bacterium partial 16S ribosomal RNA". It matches the Rfam family "Bacterial small subunit ribosomal RNA", at positions 355 to 776 of the family's 1533-position model. The record is from RNAcentral. Lineage: Bacteria; Bacillati; Chloroflexota.
UGGGGAAUAUUGCACAAUGGGCGCAAGCCUGAUGCAGCCAUGCCGCGUGUAUGAAGAAGGCCUUCGGGUUGUAAAGUACUGUCAGCGGGGAGGAGGGGAGUAAAGUUAAUACCUUUGCUCAUUGACGUUACCCGCAGAAGAAGCACCGGCUAACUCCGUGCCAGCAGCCGCGGUAAUACGGAGGGUGCAAGCGUUAAUCGGAAUUACUGGGCGUAAAGCGCACGCAGGCGGUUUGUUAAGUCAGAUGUGAAAUCCCCGGGCUCAACCUGGGAAAUGAAUCAGAUACUGGCAAGCUUGAGUCUCGUAGAGGGGGGUAGAAUUCCAGGUGUAGCGGUGAAAUGCGUAGAGAUCUGGAGGAAUACCGGUGGCGAAGGCGGCCCCAUGGACGAAGACUGACGCUCAGGUGCGAAAGCGUGAGGAGCAAACAGG